GGACGACAUNCGAUCGCUUAGUGAGACCGAGUGUUAAGCAAAGCUCAAUUGACCCUGGGNUGUAACGGUGUCCGAGUUGUAAUUUGAAGAUUGUAACCUUGGGGUUGGCUCUUGUCUAUGUUUCUUGGAACAGGACGUCACAGAGGGUGAGAAUCCCGUGCGAUGAGAUGCCCAAUUCUAUGUAAGGUGNUUUCCGAAGAAGUCGAGUGUUGGGAAUGCAGCUCUAAGUGGGUGGUAAAUCCAUCUAAAGCUAAAUAUUGGCGAGAGACCGAUAGCGAACAAGUACAGUGAUGGAAAGAUGAAAAGAACUUUGAAAAGAGAGUGAAAAAGUACGUGAAAUUGUUGAAAGGGAAGGGUUUGAGAUCAGACUCGAUAUUUUGUGAGCCUUGCCUUCGUGGCGGGGUGACCCGCAGCUUAUCGGGCCAGCAUCGGUUUGGGCGGUAGGAUAAUGGCGUAGGAAUGUGACUUUACUUCGGUGAAGUGUUAUAGCCUGCGUUGAUGCUGCCUGCCUAGACCGAGGACUGCGAUUUUAUCAAGGAUGCUGGCAUAAUGAUCCCAAACCGC
RNAcentral lists this ribosomal RNA (564 nucleotides) under [Candida] sp. Levica15. RNAcentral's name for it is "eukaryotic LSU rRNA". It matches the Rfam family "Eukaryotic large subunit ribosomal RNA", at positions 1 to 648 of the family's 3401-position model. Lineage: Eukaryota; Fungi; Ascomycota; Saccharomycetes; Saccharomycetales. The record is from RNAcentral.